GAGGGUAUAACUCAGUGGUAGAGUGCUUGCCUAGCAUGCAUGAAGCCCUGAGUUCAAUCCCCAAUACCCUAG
RNAcentral lists this transfer RNA (72 nucleotides) under Marmota marmota marmota (Alpine marmot). It matches the Rfam family "tRNA". Rfam says of the family: Transfer RNA (tRNA) molecules are approximately 80 nucleotides in length. Their secondary structure includes four short double-helical elements and three loops (D, anti-codon, and T loops). Further hydrogen bonds mediate the characteristic L-shaped molecular structure. tRNAs have two regions of fundamental functional importance: the anti-codon, which is responsible for specific mRNA codon recognition, and the 3' end, to which the tRNAs corresponding amino acid is attached (by aminoacyl-tRNA synthetases). tRNAs cope with the degeneracy of the genetic code in two manners: having more than one tRNA (with a specific anti-codon) for a particular amino acid; and 'wobble' base-pairing, i.e. permitting non-standard base-pairing at the 3rd anti-codon position. Lineage: Eukaryota; Metazoa; Chordata; Mammalia; Rodentia; Sciuridae. RNAcentral also lists the same sequence under 2 other names. The record is from Rfam by way of RNAcentral.